UUAGGCGUGGGCAUUCGGGGUCCCAAUCGGGUUUCGGUUUUAUCCAUUCGGGUUUUGGUUUUUCGGGUUUAUCAAAAUCAACCCCAUUCGGGUUAUAUAAAAGUUCGGUUCGGGACCGGUUCGGGUUAUAUCGGGUUCGGGUCGGGGUUAGUAAAUCUUCAAAGAACCGGUAUAACCCAUUGUACUUUCGGGUUCGGGUCCCAAUCGGUUCUUCGGUUUAAAAAUACAUGAUUUGUACCUAUUUUGUAACUAAAACAUAAAUGAAAUCGGUUCUUCAGAUUUAAAAUACAUGAUUUGUACAUAUUUUAAUAGCCAAAACAUAAGUAAAAUCGAUUCAAAAAUAAGAAAAAACAUCAAACGUGAUCAUUCAAAAUCAAGCGAAAGAUAAACAUAGUUAGUGAAAUAAAGAAAACAGAUAAAUGAAAUCAUAAAACAAAAACUAAGUUCUCAUGAAAUGAGAAACACUAUUUAAUGAAAACAAAACCAAAAUAAAAAAAACUUUAGGUUUCAACCGCUACAUUCCACCAUCAACCUUUAUCUAAUAGAUAAUUAUUUUAGAAGUUCAAUAAUAUCUUAAAGUAUUUUGGAUACAUAUUAAGAAUUAAGAUCAUAUUUGGUAGAAGUUCUUUUUGUUAUUAUAAAUGUUUCGGGUUCUAUCGGAUAUCCAUUUAGGUCCGGGUUCGGUUCGGAUAAUACCCAUAACCCAAUAUACCAAAAAACAGGAUCCAUUCGGUAUUUAUGUCGGGUUCGGAUCGGUUCGGAUUCAUUUUCAUCGGAUCGGGUUCGGUUCGGAUUUUCGGGUUCGGUUUAUUUGCCCAGCCCUAGU
RNAcentral lists this long non-coding RNA (826 nucleotides) under Brassica rapa (field mustard). Its description in RNAcentral is "long non-coding RNA (BRAP_LNC000825)". Lineage: Eukaryota; Viridiplantae; Streptophyta; Magnoliopsida; Brassicales; Brassicaceae. The record is from RNAcentral.